GUUCGGCGUUAAACGUGGUUUUACGUUUCUCCAAACCAUACAUAUUUAACAGUGAGGAGUUAAUAUGUACCUGAGGAAACAGGUGUUUGCUGGUGAAACAGGUGAAGAAGCCUCGGUCAGGUGCUGCAGACGCCAAAGCUACUCUAUUUACAAUCGCUCCGUUUACAUUUAGGUUAAAAGCACGUAUUUAUGCGUGCAUAAGAACAUUUUGGCGCCAUGACGUCCUUCUCAAAGGGCCCAGGACAUGCAGCUAAACCUCGGGUGGAAACGUUUGCCAGCUGAAGGAUGAAGCGGAGUGAAUCUGGACACCAGACAACUCAUUUAAUGCUGAUGAUGAAUGACCACAGCGCUGGAACCCAAAAUGAGCUCUCUAAGUCACUCCUCGCAGUCAUUUCAGAUUCCUCAACAGAAACGAAAGCCUCUUGGCAUUAGAAGUGGGUGUCUAGAUGGUUUUUCUAUUUUUAUCGAGGUGGACAUCACCAUCUUGGAUAAUCAACUCCAACAGAUUGCGCUCCGAGAAACAAAUUGCUUCAUUUAAGCAUGAAAAUGAUUGAGCAAAAGGAUGACAAACACAGCGGAGUGCAUUUAUCAAAGCUGUUUACACGAGACACAAAUCACGGCUGCUGGAUCCACUUGAAAAAUUGCUUUGUUAUAGUUACAAUUUAUCAUUGACAUGUUGUAUUUACUGAAAAACAAAUCUGUCAGAUGGUAGUCAAGAUAGAUUCAAUAUGUCAAUUAUUACCACUGAGUAGAAUUACUGAGAGGUCUUGUGUGUGUGUGCUGCUCAUACUCAAGCAUUAUAGUUCAAUGCAUAAGUUCUCUGCAUAUUAUCCUCUAAAAUAUGAGGAACAAAAGUUUUGAGAGAGCUGCUCAGUUUAAUGUGACAUGUUCUGUAUUUGCAUAUAGGCAGGUGACAAAUUAAUGGAAAACCUGAAUAAAUGAAUGGGGAAACAUAACACGUCCUGAUGCA
Long non-coding RNA from Centropristis striata (black sea bass), 970 nucleotides. RefSeq lists it as uncharacterized. Lineage: Eukaryota; Metazoa; Chordata; Actinopteri; Perciformes; Serranidae. The transcript is spliced from 3 exons. The record is from RefSeq and is a predicted model, not a curated record.